ACUUACCAAAGGUCCUCUCUAUCCGUCACUCCUCAAGAUCCCAUUUAAGUUCUGGCUAAUGUGUUAAGAACAACUUCCUGUUUGGCACCAGAUGCUGUCAUCUGCAGCGCAUGUUAGAAUCGAUUUUUUGCGAAAUUCAUUCCCACCGAACUCCAGCAAGAAGACGAACCCUAGAUUUCGAUUUUCCCUAAUUGCUUCCCUUCUAAUUUCAAAAAUCCCCACAUCAAGAAACCCCUAAUCGGACAUUCCUCCAUCUUUCCUCGUCAUCCCAUAAUCUAAACCCACAAAAAUGCGAAGGAGCAAAUCUGCCCGGUCAACCACUUUUGCGCAUGGUGAAGGUAAUCCCAUGUUGAAGGCUAUUAUAUGUGAUCUGAAGCAUCAUUUUUGAAGUUACUUUGAAAAAAAAAGUUUGAAUAAUGUACUUGUUGUCAUAUUAAUCAGCAAAAGAAUAGGCAUCGUGACAUUGUAUAAAACUAGUGCAGGCAUCCUAGUGGGAGAAUCAAAAACAAGAAAGGGAAUUUUAUCACCAUGGAAUUGGGAAACUGAAUUUUAAGUAUCAUGGCAGGGAAGAAUAGGGAUUGUAAGGCUUAAGAUCCAAUUCCUAUGGAAACCUGAAAGGGAGUCUAGUGGGGAAUGUAAAGCUAAAGAUCAGAUUCCAAAUUUGUCGUGUAUGUUGCAGCGAGUUGCUCAAAUAAUAGAAGAAAAAGAUGUAGAGAUAUCCAUCAACAAAAAUGUUCGAAAGGGAAAAAUAGCUACUAAGGAUAUUGGGAAAGGAAAGGAAAAAGUUUCAUGAAUAUGUUCCAAACAUGUGAACGAGUUGAAAAAUUUUGCUGCACUCGUUGAACUUCAUGUUUAUGUAAUAGGCAUUAAAGAUGGUGGCAAUUAUGUUUGUUGUAUGUUCGUUGGCGGCCUUCGAUUUAGUAGUUGAAUUUGCUUGUAAUGAAGCUUUUAUUUAUGUAAACAUUGUGCCAAAUGUGAUGUUGGAUUUGCUUGUAAGGAGUUUAACAAAUUAUCCAGUAACAAAAAGGAAACUUAAAUUAUGACAAAAGUAAACUUUUUUAUUCUAAA
This 1068-nucleotide long non-coding RNA is filed under the name Olea europaea subsp. europaea. The record is from RNAcentral. Lineage: Eukaryota; Viridiplantae; Streptophyta; Magnoliopsida; Lamiales; Oleaceae.